Molecule: ribosomal RNA, 245 nt
Filed under: uncultured bacterium
Lineage: Bacteria
Description: partial 16S ribosomal RNA
Rfam family: Bacterial small subunit ribosomal RNA
Source: RNAcentral
UACGGAGGGUGCAAGCGUUGUUCGGAAUUAUUGGGCGUAAAGGGCGCGUAGGCGGUUGCGUUAGUCAGAUGUGAAAUACUUCGGCUUAACUGGAGAACAGCAUUUGAUACUGCGCAACUAGAGUACAGGAGAGGGAAACGGAAUUCCCGGUGUAGAGGUGAAAUUCGUAGAUAUCGGGAGGAACACCAGUGGCGAAGGCGGUUUCCUGGUCUGAUACUGACGCUGAGGCGCGAAAGCGUGGGGAG